RNAcentral lists this transfer RNA (66 nucleotides) under Pteropus alecto (black flying fox). It matches the Rfam family "tRNA". From Rfam's summary of the family: Transfer RNA (tRNA) molecules are approximately 80 nucleotides in length. Their secondary structure includes four short double-helical elements and three loops (D, anti-codon, and T loops). Further hydrogen bonds mediate the characteristic L-shaped molecular structure. tRNAs have two regions of fundamental functional importance: the anti-codon, which is responsible for specific mRNA codon recognition, and the 3' end, to which the tRNAs corresponding amino acid is attached (by aminoacyl-tRNA synthetases). tRNAs cope with the degeneracy of the genetic code in two manners: having more than one tRNA (with a specific anti-codon) for a particular amino acid; and 'wobble' base-pairing, i.e. permitting non-standard base-pairing at the 3rd anti-codon position. Lineage: Eukaryota; Metazoa; Chordata; Mammalia; Chiroptera; Pteropodidae. The record is from Rfam by way of RNAcentral.
UCCAUAGUGUAGCAGUUAGCACGUCUGCUUUACGCGCAGGAGGUCCUGGGUUUGUGCCCCAGUGGA